UACAGAGGUCUCAAGCGUUGUUCGGAUUCAUUGGGCGUAAAGGGUGCGUAGGUGGCGCGGUAAGUCGGGUGUGAAAUUUCGGAGCUUAACUCCGAAACUGCAUUCGAUACUGCCGUGCUUGAGGACUGGAGAGGAGACUGGAAUUUACGGUGUAGCAGUGAAAUGCGUAGAUAUCGUAAGGAAGACCAGUGGCGGAGGCGGGUCUCUGGACAGUUCCUGACACUGAGGCACGAAGGCCAGGGGAGCAAACGGG
RNAcentral lists this ribosomal RNA (253 nucleotides) under uncultured bacterium. RNAcentral describes it as "partial 16S ribosomal RNA". It matches the Rfam family "Bacterial small subunit ribosomal RNA", at positions 524 to 776 of the family's 1533-position model. The record is from RNAcentral.